RNAcentral lists this long non-coding RNA (1119 nucleotides) under Bemisia tabaci. RNAcentral describes it as "lncRNA ENSSSA2NGG002089". Lineage: Eukaryota; Metazoa; Arthropoda; Insecta; Hemiptera; Aleyrodidae. The record is from RNAcentral.
AUGACGGCUGAGCAAGACAGACCUCAAAACCAGGAUCAGACUUCCUUGGGAGGUUUGAAGAAUUUGGGUCAACCGCAACCGUUCAGUCAUUCGUCCAAUAGAGAUUCUGGAUACUCGCAGCCGGAAAAGAGUAACGCGCGGCAACCGUACAGACCAAAAUACACAACAGGAGCAGGUGUACCGAGUUCUAGCGGUGCGUCCGGUCCUUCGGGACCAUCAGGGGCAUCAGGACCAGAUCAGAGCUCUCUUAGUAGCAAGAAAAGUCAACAACCAACGGGAGCUCCACAAGAGGACUCGACACGAACGCUUAUGCUUACAGGACCUGGAUCUACAUACUUGGAGAAUACGGGUCCGGAGCCAAAAAUUAAAUAUCCUAAACUGCCAUUAACCACAGGCUUAGGUUUAAGUUACCAGCGACCUGAGUCGAUUAGAAAUAGUAAACCCAGUUACAGUCCGACUGGACCUGGCCAAAGGAGUAAGUUAUCUAGUUACCAGGGGAGCAUCUUUUCACCGUCAAUCAUAAAACAGCUGGAUGUUACGGCACCAGGACCUUCUGGUUUAGGACGGCAGCCUGCUCAAACUUCAACAAUUAGGAAUAAUGGCAUCCAAGAGAGCGAUCAAUUGGAUUAUGAAGAAUACGAUGUGACUCUGAAUGAUGCAUUGCAACCGUCGACACUGCACCCCACGAGAAGCUUGGCUCUUUCGGGUAGUUUUGCUCAAGAUCCACUUUUGAGCCCAUCAAUCAAAGGUCGAAGAACGAUUAGCCCGCCGAGGAAGACAAUAAACCAAGAGGCUUAUGUGAUUUCUGAUGCAACACAGCAAUUUCUAAACGUACAGAGAAAUCUUGGGUACAGAGGGAGUAUUGUGCCACAAGCUGAGGCCAAACAGCGGCAAAAUUUCCAAGAGCAAGCACACAUGGAAUCGGAACGAUUGGUCAGCCGAAGGAAACCGAAGCAACCAGACAAUUCUCGAGUUGUGCUACAAGCGGAAGAAACACACUCUCGUCCGACAGCAAAUGAUGGAGAAACAGCACCAGGUGUUUGGGUGAUCCAGCAAGCACCCCGGCGAGUUGUUAACAAGCAAACUGCUCCUGUGAUAGCAUAUGAUGAAUUUUAUUGA